UGCAAUUUUGGCGUCGUGUUUAGAUUUUUUGUUAUCGUAUUCAUUGUGUGUCAAUUCUGCAUUAUUAACCUUUUUUUUGUCAUUUUUGUGUUCAAUAAAAAAAAUUUACAUAAUGUAGAAAUAAUGACAUUUUGUCACUCGUGUAAAUCAGACAUGAAUGUCAACAGAAACGUCAAAUAUAAGGUAUUUUUAUUUGUAUGUUUGAUUUACACGAGAGAUUAUCGUGAUUUAUGACAAACAAAUAAUAGAAAUGAUGACAUUUUGUUAUAAAUGCAUUUUGGAAUAAACGUCAACAGUACUUCACGAAAAGACAAAUAUUAUUUGUAUGAAAUCGUAUGAGCUAUAUCGCGCUUACCGGCAGCGAUUUAACGAAAUAUUUUAUUUGAAUCGGAGUAUUCGGAGUGCCGAAUCCAUCUACUCUUUUAUAAACCGAGCACCUCUACGAGCUGGCGAUUUUCAUAAAAAAUCGAUAAAAAAAAAAUCGCCACAACGAUUAAACGGAGUGAUUAAAAAGGAAAUUCUAAAAAAAAAAACUAUUUAAGGCCUUGUCUAGCAGGGCGCAAUCCAGUGAAAACUAUUGACUUUUGACCAAAUAUAUAUAUUUUGUAAAAAUAUAAUAAAAGGGUAGAACGCAUCACCGGACUACGCCCAGUUUAACCAGGCCUUAAAAUUCCAAAUAUUCCAACCGUCUCGUGUAGACUAGGUGUUAAGAUUAUUUUAUCAUCCCUGUUUUUUUUUUUCUUGUUGACAACAGAAAGAAUGAUGUAUGUGAGAAUAUGAAUGUUUGUGUAUUUCUUUCUCUUCUCUCUGGCUAGUUGGUAAUUUGGGUAUCUGCCGCGCAAAAUCUACGAACUAGAAAUACAAUCUACAUAGCAGGCGAUAGAAAUAGAAAAUUAGUUUGUUAAAAUGAAGAUUGAGGAACAAUCUGAAAGAAUAAAACAAAAUAUUGUUGCCGGUUGCAUCUUAAAGAAGGCUGAACUCAGAGAAUUCCUCAUCCGUAAGCCCGCAAGAGAUGGUUCCUCUGGUGUAGAGAUGUGUGUCAUACCCUCACGUAUUGAAAUCAUCAUCAUAGUUACCGAAACCUAACAGAUCUUGAGUCAUCACCGGAAAGUUGCGUGGUCAGCGUGCAAAAUCAAUUUGACGAUUUAAUGAAUAUCGCCACACGUCAUGUUCUGUUGCUUCAAGGAGUGGUGGGUCAAAGAUUUUGGCCAGCAGUAUUCACCGAGCGCUCAUAAUAUGUUUCGAAACUCAACUAAAAAAUCCUACUUGUUUAGCUCAUAAAUAUUUCCUUUCAGUUGGCUAGUGAGUGGUUUUUUUCGAGUUGUGAUUCUCAUACAGUUAUGAACCCUCGGUGAAUACGAGCUACGGCCCCAAGAACAAAAUUAGUCCAAAGAAGCCAUUGUCAGUGUUUUUGUACUCUGUUGUGGAGAGUCGAGACUGAGGAGGAAUGGAUUUACGAAACCUCUGGAGGAGUUUGCCGAGGCCAUUUAAAUUGGGGAAGGACGUCUGAGGACUCUAUUGUUUUUCUUACCAGGCUAAAAGUCUUGUGUUUAAAGCCUCUCAUAACAAAUAAAAGGAAUAUGUAUAUUGAAUUGAUUUAUAAUUUUUUUUAAU
Molecule: long non-coding RNA, 1614 nt
Organism: Episyrphus balteatus (marmalade hoverfly)
Lineage: Eukaryota; Metazoa; Arthropoda; Insecta; Diptera; Syrphidae
Exons: 2
Source: RefSeq, a predicted model, not a curated record